Molecule: small nucleolar RNA, 140 nt
Organism: Tachyglossus aculeatus (Australian echidna)
Lineage: Eukaryota; Metazoa; Chordata; Mammalia; Monotremata; Tachyglossidae
Source: RefSeq, a predicted model, not a curated record
UUCCUUUCACAGGAUCAUAUCUGGAGAGUUUCCAGUACUCUACUAGUCUCAGAUACAGAAGGGAGAGUCGAGCAGAGGCAUACCCAUUCCAUUCCUGGCUUGGGCAGUGGCUAGCAAGUGGAAGGCAAUCUGCUACAAGU